This is a long non-coding RNA of Setaria italica (foxtail millet), 1992 nucleotides long. RefSeq lists it as uncharacterized. The transcript is spliced from 4 exons. NCBI's taxonomy places the organism in Eukaryota, Viridiplantae, Streptophyta, Magnoliopsida, Poales, Poaceae. The record is from RefSeq and is a predicted model, not a curated record.
UUCACAAUCAUUUGAAUCAACUUGUGAAUUUAACAAUUGUUUUUUUUAAGUGAGGUCAACUAUGUGAACAUAUGAAGCAAUGGUUCAUCAGAAAAUGAGCUAUGUGGCCCAUAGUACCACGGAGCCCCGUUGUGACUGUAUUCCUCCCUAUGUCCAUCAUCUUCGCUAGGCCAAAAUCUCCUACCACUGCUUCAAAGUUUCCAUCAAGCAGGACAUUGGCAGCCUUCACAUCACGGUGGAUGAUCUUGGGAUUGCAGUGCUCGUGAAGGAAUUGGAGCGCGGCUGAUGUACUCAAUCCGUUUCGUUGUUUCAAAACAAAAGCCCUCCUGAAGCAAGAUCGAUGCUUGACUGUUGUGUCACUGGAAGAAGCGUAUGAGAUGGUGGAACAGAAAUGCUCAGAGAAAGAUGCUCCUCAACUGGAAGCAAGAUGGAAUUGUACCUGAACAUGCCAAGAAUCUACUUCAGAAUAAAAUUAAGAUUAUUUAUUGAAAUAAUGUCUACAGUGAAGAACUAGCUCAGUUGGGAUCCCAUUUGGACCACUUGUAUGAAAGAAAUCAUUGCUACGUGUGAAGAGUCUCAGUGUGGGCACUGGACUUCAGUAGUUAGAACCAUAUCCUUCAUUUCUCAGAAUUUUCCUGGGGUAGUUUUCUCAGCAAAGAAAAGUUCCUCCAAGACAUAUGUACAUGUGAGUCCAUUAUUUGGUCCCACCGAUAUUCUGUAUCUAAAAGAGGUGCCCAAUGAACCUACAGACCUAUACCUUCAAAAAGGGUGUCAUUAAAAAUCCAAACUAAAGGCAGCCACUGUUUUUCGUACUUGAUGGAAUGCAUCUUUUGUGUUUGGAUAAACGCACAAUGGAAUGUACAACAAAGCAGAAUCAGCUCCUAGUUGCAACAGGAACCUGAUACUGGAAAACAAGCUGAGCAAUAGGCAUGGUCCAGGUGGAAGCUUCCUCUUACCAAAGGUAGUGUUUGCAUGUUUAGUAGUGUUUUGGGCUGAAGCAAAGGUAUUCCAUCCACCCUUUGGUGUCUCUUCUUCCCCGUUUUCCCCCAAGCACCCAACAGCCAUUCCACAAAAUUAAAGGCAAGACACAGGCUAUAUUCCCUCAAAGCUCAGAAGCGGCAAACCACUCUAAUGGAGAGGAAGCAAUCCAGUCAAGCAAACAGGUGCUCCAAGAAGAUGACGACGACAAUGAAGUCAAACAGGCAGUUCUGUAUGUGAGCAUGCAAGGAAGGCCGGCAAGAACUUACCUAGAAAAGGGGAAGGAAGAAGUAUCAGACAAGUUGUGCUCCAAGCUUCUGAGAACUUUCUUUCUUUGAGCUGUCUCCCGGGGUGAAGGCUGAGAUUGAAGAGGAGAGGAGAGCAGGCUUAUUCUCAGCAGCACGGAGAGGAGCUGAGGAACAAGUGUUUAGCUAGUGGUGCACAAAGAAUUGAAUGGGUCAAAUAUAUCACAGCUCUCUCUGAAGUGGAGGUACUCCCGGCCAGUUCAUUGGAUCGUGCAAACAGACAGCUCAGAUUGAUCCAAGCCGUCCACUUGUAAUCAACGGCUGCCGAAUAACCUUCUCAUAGACCCGUCGGAGGACCAAAAGUUUCUGUUAGGGGCCUUUAUCAGCCGACUAACAGAUCUUCUAAAUCUCAAGGGCACUACUACCUUUUAUCAUAAGAUUUUGCUGGGAGUAGAGCAAGUUGAGUAUUAGAGAAAAAAAAAGGAAGUGCAGUGGGUGUGAGCAUAGGUUGUUGAAAUAAAAUGAUGGGAGUUCGCACCAUACCAUUGACUAGCUGAUACGCAGGGAAACUGCAAAAACCACCCUAUAUUUCUUUAUAUAAACUUUGUGGAGCAUCCAGGUCCCAUGCAAUUAUUGUUAGGCGACACUCUUGAAGAAUAUCGAUGUGGACGCCACCCUAGUGAAAGUUUUGUUGUUUUAAUACAGCAAUUGGAGCAAGUGAACUACGCUGUGUAUAAUUGUAUACAUUUCUCGAGGAAGAUUAGUGACA